Molecule: long non-coding RNA, 646 nt
Filed under: Apteryx owenii (little spotted kiwi)
Lineage: Eukaryota; Metazoa; Chordata; Aves; Apterygiformes; Apterygidae
Description: lncRNA (ENSAOWG00000004719.1)
Source: RNAcentral
GACCCACGCGGGUGUGACAGGAGCCCUCGGGCAGUGGCCGAAGUGAGCUCCGAGCCUGCAUCCUCGCGCCUGGCACCUGCCCCGGGAAGCCRGGUUCCUCCGUCUGCAGCGCACUGCUGGGAUGCGGCGUGACUCCGGGCUCGGGCACCACAGGCUUCCUGGUCCUCUCCUAACGGCUCCACGCGUCCCUGCCGUGCCCGGCGUGGGCUCCUGGCUGCCUGCAGGGGCUGUGGUCUGGCCUGUCCAGCCUAAGCUCAGGGUGCUGAGCAGAGCCCGGGCUAAUAGCCAAGCCCGUGGCCGACAGGAGGGGGGAAGAGCCGGGACAAGCGCUGGCGGCGGCAUUGCUGCGGGUGAGCGGGGAACGCGCGCGUUGCGGGAGGAAUCAGCGGGACCCGUUUGCAAACUUGUUUUCGAGCCCUCGCCGGGGAGGGGAGCCGGGCACGAGCACUGAGAUGCCAUUAUGUAAGGAGCGCCGCAGCGGGAGCCGGCAGCUGGGCCGCUCGGCCCUGCCUGACCCGUGACCGCAGGGAGAGUCGGGGACGGAGCCUCCUGCCCCCUCCUCUCCCGCGGGGGCAGCAAACAGCCCUGCCAGUGUGGCUGCUGCUCGCCAGCCCUCGCCGGGAAAUAAAGGAGAGCAGCGUUCGCA